UUAAAGAAGCUAUUUAAGAAUAAAAACACUGAAACUAUAUGAAACUAUUUAAAGAGUGAUAAAUGAAAGCGGCUUUUUGUUGUAUUUUGGAUUGUGGAACUGUAUUGAUUGGCAAAAAUAAUGUUAUUGUAGUCUAGUUAUACUAGUUUGUCAACAGUAUAUUGAUGUAAAAACAACAGUCUUUAUUUUUUUAUUUGUUUAUUUAUUAAAAGAUGAGAUGUUUUAAAAAAAGGGUAGGCAUUAUAAGCAAGAGCUUCAGCCUACACCUGUUCAGACUAAUGUAAAUAUGUUGUUGUACAUUAGCUCAGUUGUGUUGAACCUAAGUUGUCCGUCUGAAAUAAACUAAACUAAACAUUCAAACUCAACAACAUGCAGGGCUAAAAGCCCCGGAUCUUUUGCACUACUAGCGACGCGGACGCGCCGACGCCCCUGGACAUGCAUACUACACGCAAGGGCUACAAAACUAACAUUUUUAUUUAAAACAUUGUCUUACCUGCAAGCGACGCGCGAGCAUCAUCCCGCUGUCUCUUCUUUUUUCUUUUUUCCGCCCCCGACUCUUGGUGCCUUUUCGAGGCCAUGUCUGAGGUCGGUGUCUGCCAAAUUUGACAUUGAUUGAGGCAUAAUCGAACAGACCACUGGGAGGUGGGGAAGGGGGGGCACCAGAGGGAGACUGGCACAGAGAUUCACCUUUUUCUCGACUAAUUUGGUCUAGGCCUAUAUUACUUUUGUAUUGCUUUUGUAUAUUAACAUGCUUUUAGAAAUAUUUUAUUUGUUAUUUAUACUAGUAGCCUAUUGUGACAUGGCCUCGAAAAGGCACCAAGAGUCGGGGGCGGAAAAAAGAAAAAAGAAGAGACAGCGGGAUGAUGCUCGCGCGUCGCUUGCAGGUAAGACAAUGUUUUAAAUAAAAAUGUUAGUUUUGUAGCCCUUGCGUGUAGUAUGCAUGUCCAGGGGCGUCGGCGCGUCCGCGUCGCUAGUAGUGCAAAAGAUCCGGGGCUUUUAGCCCUGCAUGUUGUUGAGUUUGAAUGUUUAGUUUAGUUUAUUUCAGACGGACAACUUAGGUUCAACACAACUGAGCUAAUGUACAACAACAUAUUUACAUUAGUCUGAACAGGUGUAGGCUGAAGCUCUUGCUUAUAAUGCCUACCCUUUUUAAAACAUCUCAUCUUUUAAUAAAUAAACAAAUAAAAAUAAAGAAAAAAAAACUGUUGUUUUACAUCAAUAUACUGUUGACAAACUAGUAUAACUAGACUACAAUAACAUUAUUUUUGCCAAUCAAUACAGUUCCACAAUCCAAAAUACAACAAAAAGCCGCUUUCAUUUAUCACUCUUUAAAUAGUUUCAUAUAGUUUCAGUGUUUUAUUCUUAAAUAGCUUCUUUAAUUUGCUAAGUGACCCACAUAUUUUUAAUUCCUCUUGACAGCUGUUCCAUAGAAUUACACCUUUAACUGAAAUACAAUAGUAUUUUGCAUUGGUCCUCACUUGGUUCUUUUUAAACAUACAAGUUCCCCUUAAAUCAUGUUGACAUUCUCUUUCUGUAAACAACCCUUGGAUACUUUCUGGCAAUUGAUGAUUGUUUGCUUUGUACAUAAUUUGUAAUGUUUUUAGUUCUACUAAUUCUUUAAACUUUAGGGCCUUUAGUUCAAUAAAUAGGGAGUUUGUUGGCUCCCUAUAGUUGGUUUUCUUUACUAUUCGUAUGGCUCUCUUUUGUAGCAUAAAUAUUGAAUUGGUAUUUGUUUUGUAUGUAUUUCCCCAUACUUCCACACAAUAAGUAAUGUAUGGAAGCACUAGGGAGCAAUACAAGGUAUAUAAUGAUUUUUCAUUUAAUAAGUCUUUAACUUUAUAUAAUAUUGCAAUUGACUUUGAAAUCUUGUUCUUAGUAUAGGAUAUAUGGGGCUUCCAAUUUAAGUCAUUGUCAAUUAUCACCCCAAGAAAUUUAAUUGCCGACACCCUUUCUAUUUCAAUUUCAUUAAUCAUUAAUUUACCUCUUGUGUUCGGUAAACGAUUACCAAACACAAUAAAUUUUGUUUUACUUAUAUUUAAUGUUAGUUUAUUCAAAUCAAACCAAUUUUUU
Molecule: long non-coding RNA, 2070 nt
Organism: Cyprinus carpio carpio
Lineage: Eukaryota; Metazoa; Chordata; Actinopteri; Cypriniformes; Cyprinidae
Source: Ensembl